CACGUAGGGUGCGAGCGUUGUCCGGAAUUAUUGGGCGUAAAGAGCUCGUAGGCGGUGUGUCGCGUCGGCCGUGAAAACCUGCAGCUUAACUGUGGGCUUGCGGUCGAUACGGGCGGGCUGGAGUUCGGUAGGGGAGACUGGAAUUCCUGGUGUAGCGGUGAAAUGCGCAGAUAUCAGGAGGAACACCGAUGGCGAAGGCAGGUCUCUGGGCCACUACUGACGCUGAGAAGCGAAAGCGUGGGGAGCGAACAGG
This 253-nucleotide ribosomal RNA is filed under the name uncultured bacterium. RNAcentral describes it as "partial 16S ribosomal RNA". It matches the Rfam family "Bacterial small subunit ribosomal RNA", at positions 524 to 776 of the family's 1533-position model. The record is from RNAcentral.